AAACAUUCAUUCAACAUACAUGACAUAUUACCAACCAUGCAUGGCAAAUAGGCAUAUUCACAUCACAAUUAUUAGACACAACAUGAAUAGCUAGAUUUACAAGUCAUAAUCAAUAGCACAAUAUAGGUCAAUACAUUUGGCCAAAUUAUAAUAACACAUGUUAUAAAACUAGGUCCUUAUACAUGCCACUCACUUGAUAAUUCUAACAUAUGUAACAAUAUUCCAAAGGUAUUGGCUUGAUAGUGUGAUGCUGCCUCCUAUGAUCUCCAACCCCGAGCCGACCUGACAACACUAAAAGAAAUGGAAAGGAUGGAGUAAGCUUAAAUCUUAGUAAGUCCAUAUGAAAAUAAUAAGCAAAUUAUUGACAUGAUUCCAUAGAAAUAUAAUCAUAAUUACACUUUUACUUAUUUUCUGGUCAUGCUAUUUUCUCAAGUCAUAGUUACUAAAUUAUUUAUAUCUGGAGCUACCAAACUUCAAAUUAAGGUCCGUAAAUUUUUCCUGAAACUAGACUCAUAUAUCUUUUUACCAUAAAAUUUUCAGAAUUUUCUGACCCUAUCUCACAAAAAUUCAAAUAUCUCAUAAUAUAAAAUUCUUUUACUUACACCAUUUCAAUUAUAAGAAAAUAAACUUAAUAAGAUUUAAUUUCAUUUCUUAUUCAACCUCUAAUUCGAUUUCCAUGAUUUUUGGUGAUUUUUCAAAGUUACACAACUGUUACUGUCCAAAACUGUUUUAUUACAAAUUUCACUCUUUCAUAUUUUCUUUGUAACACUUACUCCAUACCAUCUUACCGAAAGCUCGCUUAACUAUCGAGCACAUUGCUCAUUAAUUUCCACAAACAUAUACCUUACACUUAUUCAUCACAUAGUCAUGUUCACAUGUAUUUUCACUUAGUUGAUUUCCCAUUGAACUCAUCGGAAUAAUAACAAAUACAUGGUUGCCUGCAUAUAUUACCACUCUUGUAACCGAAGCUAUCUGGUACGCAUAGUAGCCUGCAUUUAGUACUACACAUGCGACCAACAAUCUGGUACACGUAGUAGCCUGCACUUUGUACUACACACGUGACCUAACCAUCUGAUACACGUAGUAGGCUGCAGUUAGUACUACACACGUGAUUGAAGUUGUCGGGUACGCAUAGUAGCCUGUACUUAGUACUAUACAUGCGACCUAACUAUUUGGUACACGUAGUAGCCUGCACUUAGUACUACACACGUGACCUAACCAUCUGAUACACGUAGUAGCCUGCACUUAGUACUACACAUGCUACCUAACUAUCUGGUACACGUAGUAGCCUACAUUUAGUACUACACACGUGACCUAAAACCAUCUUAAGCACAGAGUACUACACAUGUGUUCUCACAAUGGAUCAUUCGUAUCAUUUCUAUUCUGAAGGUUCAACCGGGAAAAUCCUCACCUUUCAACAUUUAACAAACUCAUUCACAGUCUAUUUCGAUUCAUAAUUUACAUCAAAUGAUCAUUCUAUAGGUAGCCACAUCUCAUAUAAUAAUGAAAUAUAAUAACAUAAAAAGAAUCGAUAUAUUAUUUACAUACAAACUUACCUCGAAUGCGAGCACAACUAUUUAUUUUGAUUUAAUCCAUAAUCUCAUUCAUUCCCAAUCUAUGCCCGAAUCUCAUUUUCCUUGAUCUAUAAUAUCACAUUUACUGAAUAAUUAGUCACAUUAUUCAUAUGGGUCCAAAAAUCAUAUUUUUACAAAUUUGUAUUUUAACCCCUAAACUUUUACAUAUUUGUACUUUUUCCCCAAGGCUCGUAAAAUGAUUUUUAUCCAAUUUUCUUGCAUUUUAAGCCUAGCCGAAUCAUUUUAAUAACUAUAUCAGCCCCUAAUAUCCACUAAAUCACACUUUUAUGACAAAUUUUGUAACUUUUGCAAAACAGUCCUUUUUGACAGUUUUACCUAAAAUCACUUAGUAAAAGUCGUUUAUUACACACCGAGAAUUCAUUUUCUACCAUUAGACAUCAAAACACAUGCGUUUCAUCCAUGGGUAAAUUUUAAACACAAACCCUAGCUCAAAAUAUGGGUAGAAAUGAGUAGAUCUUGUUACGAGGAUUUCAAAAACGUAAAAAUCAUUAAAAACGGACCUAAAACGAACUUACAAUCAAGCUUGGAAGCUUGAAAAACCCUAGCUAUGUCUUCUCCAUGCAAUUUUCACCCAUGGGGUAGAAGAUGGACAAAAAUUGGCUUUUAAUUUUUUUUUAAUUCAUUUUAAUUAUUAGAUUACCAAAAUGCCCCUAACUUAAAAAUAUUCUAUUUCACCCAUUUCAUGUUCAUUUUUGUCCAAAAAAUUAUUCAAUGGUAUAAUUACCAUUUAAGGGCCUCCAAUUUAAAAUUUCAUAACAAUUAGACACCUCUAACAUGUAGAACUCAACUUUUGCAUUUUUUACAAUUUAGUCCUUUUGACCAAAUUGAGUGCCCAAACAUCAAAAUUUUCGAAUGAAAUUUUCACAAAAUCAUCCCGUGAAAUUUUAGACCAUAAAAAUAUAAUAAAAAAAUUUUACUAUGUCGAAUUUGUGGUCUCAAAACCACUGUUCCAACUAGGCCCUAAUUCGAGAUGUUACAAGGUAGAUAUCCAGAACAGGGGAUAAAUGGAAGAAAGAAUGCAUGUAAGGAAAAGAUAGAGUCUGCAGUUAUGGCAGGAAAUUUGAGGAACCACCAAUAGAUGAGUUCAGGAAAAUGAUUUAGAAACCAUCAUUCCAGGUUAAAAAAAAAUCGUCCUAAAAUAACUAAGAAGUUAAACAUGUUUAGUUUUUUUUUUUUUACUAUCCUUACAAGACGGGGUUUAUUUUUGAGUAAUGCGGUAAAGAUACUCACUAAGAUCUUUUGAACUUAUAUAAUUUUGGCCUAUGUUUGUAGGACACAUUGGCUAAUUAAGGAUCUUGAGGGGAGACCAAGCCAAAUCAUGUUAGAUCAAGGGUCAUCUUCAGUUUGGUGUCAUGCAUUUAGGAAGUGGGUACCUUCAGAAGCUUUACCUCAGUGUUAGAUAUAUUUUAAUUAAAUAGUUUUCUUAGAACUUAGAAUUUCAUGGUAGUCAAAUUAAAUUUGGUUUAAGGUUCUUGUUGUAAAAAACCUUCAACAUGAAGUAGUAAAGUCGUUUAGUGAAUUUUAUGAUUAAAGUAUUAAAUCAAAUUGGUUCAAUUAUGAUUCCCCAUAUAUGGAAUCAACGAUCAAGUUGAUAAGGGUGCUACAAUACUCGUAUAUGAUACUUGUACUCAACUUCCAGUCAAAUGAAGUAUCAAUAGUACCCAAUUUACACCAAGUUAAGAAAUUUUCAAUGAUAUUUUAUGGAAGGCCAAUUCAAAAAACAAAUUUCAUGAUAGAUUUAUAUAUAUAGCUUCUAAACAUGAUAUACCGAGGUUUUUCAGAAUUCAAGUUUUAACAGUGAAACAAUUGGAUUUCCCAUCAAUGAUAUUGAAGAUAGUUGCCCAAGAAAUUCAACAAACCAUAAUUUCUUUGCAGAUUUAACAUUUUCAUUCGAUAUUAAGAAAACUGCAUUUGGGAGUAUUAUCUUGUUGGGUUCUAUUAAACCACCUCAAAAUUGAAAUUACAACAUAAUGAUAACCCCCUAAAAUAAAUCAACAUAUAGAUUACUGACAAAUAGCUUAUCACGAUAUAGAUUUUAUCCAAACAAAUCAGUUGACACAAAAAAAUUAGUAAUUUAUAAAUGGAAAUAUUCAAUAUCUGAAGCUUUAUUUUGAAAGGCAACAAAGCAAUCCAUAACAAGAAUAAUGAUAUCUCUUUGAUUUCUCAUGUAAAUCUACCUAUACCCAUUUAUUGUAUAUAGCUUUACCUGAUCUCCUCAAUCAUCAAGGUUGUGUGAAGCUUAACUUGGUAGGCAUAGGAGUUGGACAAAGCGGUAGCGAAGCUCAGGUGGAUGGUGGUAAUACAAAUGGGUGAGGGAUUGUCAGACAGAAAAGGGAUUUCAGUGGGUGAUACGGGGGGAACUGAUGAGUGUUCAGGGAUUUUUUUGGGGGAUUUUGUUAGGAGGAUUUUGAUUUGGGGAUAAAAG
RNAcentral lists this long non-coding RNA (4020 nucleotides) under Gossypium barbadense (sea-island cotton). RNAcentral describes it as "long non-coding RNA (GBAR_LNC006090)". The record is from RNAcentral. Lineage: Eukaryota; Viridiplantae; Streptophyta; Magnoliopsida; Malvales; Malvaceae.